CGUUGUCCGGAAUUAUUGGGCGUAAAGAGUGCGUAGGUGGUUACCUAAGCGCAAGGCUUAAUACAGUGGCUCAACUACUGUCUGCCUUGCGAACUGGGCUACUUGAGUGCAGGAGGGGAAAGCGGAAUUCCUAGUGUAGCGGUGAAAUGCGUAGAUAUUAGGAGGAACACCGGCGGCGAAGGCGGCUUUCUGGACUGUAACUGACACUGAGGCACGAAAGCGUGGGGAGCAAACAGGAUUAGAUACCCUGGUAGUCCACGCCGUAAACGAUGAGCACUAGGUGUUGGGGUCGAAUGAUCUCAGUGCCGCAGUUAACGCAAUAAGCGCUCCGCCUGGGGAGUACGCUCGCAAGAGUAAAACUCAAAGGAAUUGACGGGGACCCGCACAAGCAGCGGAGCAUGUGGUUUAAUUCGAAGCAACGCGAAGAACCUUACCAGGACUUGACAUCCUACUGACAGGAUCUUAACCGAUCCCUUCUUCGGACAGUAGAGACAGGUGGUGCAUGGUUGUCGUCAGCUCGUGUCGUGAGAUGUUGGGUUAAGUCCCGCAACGAGCGCAACCCUUGUCGUCAGUUACUAACAUUCAGUUGAGGACUCUGACGAGACUGCCGAG
This 612-nucleotide ribosomal RNA is filed under the name uncultured Mogibacterium sp. RNAcentral's name for it is "bacterial SSU rRNA". It matches the Rfam family "Bacterial small subunit ribosomal RNA", at positions 539 to 1156 of the family's 1533-position model. The record is from RNAcentral. Lineage: Bacteria; Bacillati; Bacillota; Clostridia; Peptostreptococcales; Anaerovoracaceae.